GUUUGUAGUUGGGGACCAGUAGCAGGCGGCAAAGGCGAAGGAGCUAAAAGCUUCUUAAUUCCUGGGAAGAAGUUCUCGGGAAGCUUCAGUGGGGGGCGCAAGGCGGCUCCCUGUGGCGCGUCUCCGGCCUUCGGGGCGGCGGUGGGGAGAGUCGCGUGGGGCCUAAGAGGGCCGAGGCUCAAGGCCCGCGCGCGUGUCUGUCCGGCAGGGUCGCCGCCUCCGUCUCAGGACCCUGCGGUCCCCGAAGGCCGGGCCCCCGUUCCCCGGACCCGGCGUGGGAGGUGCGCCAACCCCGGAGGACUGGGUGGCAGAUGCCUCCUUGCAGCGCCUUCAAGCCGGGAGCGGCCUCCCACCCUGAGGUUGCAGAUGAGCGUGGGGUCGCCAGUGUGAUCAGAUCAGCAGCAGCCGAGUGUUCGAGGGAUGAGCCAUUGGCCUGCCUUGAGGUUGUGCGCUGAGGUGCUGAAGAAUGGUGAUGUGCAGCGUGCAGUUUUAAAGCCGGUGGCCGCGGCUCAGCCCAAGGAGCGGCUGUUUUCCCAGAGAACGGUCAGCCACGCUACAGCAGGGGAAGAACUUGUUUCGAGGACCAGUGGUCGCCAUCAGUUUGGACUGGAAACCCAGGCCUCAACAGUGGGUGUGGAAGCAGUGCUUACCUUGUGCGGAGAUUCAAAGGCCAUUCUCUUAACCAACAGAACCAACAAAUGUGUUUGGCAAAUUUUCUAGGAUAGGCACUGUUGGUGUCGUUGAAUUCAUGAGUUUUCUAAUAAUGUAUUACAAAUAACUGUAUUUUUAGCUCCCCUGCCCAAAGAGCUGCUAUACUUGUAAAUUUUGUAUAAAUUUGUUCUAUUGGGUGAGGGUCUGAGUUCUUAAAGCUGCAGAUAUAUUUCUUCCUGGAACUGAUAUUUCUCUGUGCAAUUACCACAAACUGUAAUAAAGGAUGGUCUUUAGUACUGGUUUUUAAAAAU
This 962-nucleotide long non-coding RNA is filed under the name Ursus americanus (American black bear). Its description in RNAcentral is "lncRNA (ENSUAMG00000016074.1)". Lineage: Eukaryota; Metazoa; Chordata; Mammalia; Carnivora; Ursidae. The record is from RNAcentral.